GACAGAGGUCUCGAGCGUUAGGCGGAAUCACUGGGCUUAAAGCGUGUGUAGGUGGAUUUGUAAGUACCUUGUGAAAUCCCACGGCUUAACCGUGGAACUGCUUGGUAUACUGCUUAUCUUGGGCCAUCUAGGGGUUACCGGAACAAACGGUGGAGCGGUGAAAUGCGUAGAUAUCGUUUGGAACGCCAAUGGUGAAAACAGGUAACUGGGGAUGUGCCGACACUGAGACACGAAAGCCAGGGGAGCGAACGGG
RNAcentral lists this ribosomal RNA (253 nucleotides) under uncultured bacterium. RNAcentral's name for it is "partial 16S ribosomal RNA". It matches the Rfam family "Bacterial small subunit ribosomal RNA", at positions 524 to 776 of the family's 1533-position model. The record is from RNAcentral.